AAAACCAACGUGGACAACACAGAUCUGGAACUCGAGUAAAUCAUACUCACAAAUAAGUUUUUGAGAAGAGAGACUUGGAAACCAGAGAAGAGGAGCGAAGAUCAAGACUAGAAUUUGAAAAAAAAACAUGAUGGCAAAGUUUACAGAAUUGAGCCAACAGAUGGGAACCCAACAGCUGAUUACAUUCAUAUGCUUGCGACCUUGUAAGAUUUAUGUUGCUUAAUUGCAUUGCUAAAAGUGCACUUCUAUUUUCAGGUGCUAACGAAGAGGAUUAACAAAGGAAAUAGUAUCCAAACUUGCAAAAUACUCUUUUACAUAGAUCUACUCCUAAUAAGACUCCAGUUGCAAGGCCAACUGUUAUUUCUUCAAAUGCUCUUAUACAAGUUGCAACGAGGAAUUCUCGAAUGUUUAAAGCAAUGGAUCCAAAGAACUAGCUGGACUGGACUCUAGAUCAUGGACAGUUUAGUUUGGCACUUAAUUAGGAUGGCUAAAUUACAUCUGAGUUUCAUUUGAUGGAUAUUUUCUAUGAGAAUUAUGAAUUUAUGAAUGUACAUAUUAUAUGUAUGGUUUGGAAUAUUGUAAUUGAAUGCCUGUAUUUUUUUACGGUUGCAAUGGGCUAUUACCACAACCAACUUUUGGUUGAAAUAGAGUAUCGCCAUGAAAAGUUGGCAUUGUUACAGUAGCUUCUCGCUACAAGCAUUUUGA
This is a non-coding RNA of Triticum urartu, 705 nucleotides long. The record is from RefSeq and is a predicted model, not a curated record. Lineage: Eukaryota; Viridiplantae; Streptophyta; Magnoliopsida; Poales; Poaceae.